ACCCCGUCGGCGAGCGUUGUUCGGAUUUACUGGGCGUAAAGGGUGCGUAGGCGGUUCUGUGUGUCGGAUGUGAAAUCUCACGGCUUAACCGUGGAAUGGCAUUCGAAACUACAGGGAUGGAGUACAGGAGAGAAGAGAGGAAUUCUCGGUGUAGCGGUGAAAUGCGUAGAUAUCGAGAGGAACACCGGUGGCGAAGGCGGCUCUCUGGACUGAUACUGACGCUGAGGCACGAAAGCUGGGGGAGCAAACAG
Molecule: ribosomal RNA, 251 nt
Filed under: uncultured prokaryote
Description: partial 16S rRNA
Rfam family: Bacterial small subunit ribosomal RNA
Source: RNAcentral